GUUUUAUACCUUACCGCAAGUGAAUGAUAGAUGAUCUUUGUUUCAAAACUCAUGAAUAUGUCCCUCAUAGUAGGAAGAAUGUAAUAUUACUUAGCAUGUCCCAUUCAACUACAACAUCCAAGAUGGCCAUACAAUGUAAAAUGGCUUUGACAUUAAUUUAAGAGAUGAGAUUUUAACUCUGAAGUGGAGAGCCCCUCCAUGCACCAUCGAAUGGAUCGUGCCGACCCACAGUCCUGCAACUCUUCCUUUCUUACACCGCUCCCAUGGUUAUUAGUUUCCUUUCUUUCACCACUCCCAUGGUUAUUACUUGAGAUAGAAUUUGAAAUGUGCAAUUGAUAUUUCUUUCUUCAGGAAUAUACUGAAUGGAUAUCUUGAGUUGCAGUGAAUAGACAUCGUUUGUCUACAAAAUCAAAGUUUAUGAUUCAUGAAGAAAUCAUGGUCUUUCUUCCUCCUUUUUGAGCUCAGUUGACCCGUAUCCAGCUACUGCAGUCAAAAAAUGUUUUUAGACACAAGCAAGGGGCUUAAGCGGUACUCAUUGGCGACAUUCAGACCAUUUGGGCGUCCAGGGGUUAGUCUGAACGAUGCAG
Hordeum vulgare subsp. vulgare (domesticated barley) is the source of this 587-nucleotide long non-coding RNA. RefSeq lists it as uncharacterized. The transcript is spliced from 4 exons. NCBI's taxonomy places the organism in Eukaryota, Viridiplantae, Streptophyta, Magnoliopsida, Poales, Poaceae. The record is from RefSeq and is a predicted model, not a curated record.